ACCGAUACUGCGCUAAUCUACGACGCCCUCGGCUUGUUUGUUCGAGCACUUCACGACCUGGAUAGAACACAAACCAUCGAUGUCCAGCGUCUGUCAUGUGACGACAAUGUCUUUUGGAACCACGGAAAUUCCAUUAUUGCCUACAUGAAAGUUCUCAUCAGGGAAGGAAUAUCUC
Molecule: long non-coding RNA, 175 nt
Organism: Limulus polyphemus (Atlantic horseshoe crab)
Lineage: Eukaryota; Metazoa; Arthropoda; Merostomata; Xiphosura; Limulidae
Exons: 4
Source: RefSeq, a predicted model, not a curated record